Aquila chrysaetos chrysaetos is the source of this 954-nucleotide long non-coding RNA. RefSeq lists it as uncharacterized. The record is from RefSeq and is a predicted model, not a curated record. Lineage: Eukaryota; Metazoa; Chordata; Aves; Accipitriformes; Accipitridae. The transcript is spliced from 3 exons.
UCGGCACAGGCGGCGUGGGAGCAGGAGGGAGCACGUGGCACGGCCGCGGUGGUCCCGAGCGCAGGCGGUCCCAGCGAGGGGAAGGCAGCCCCCACGCUUAGGCUGCUCCCCCCAGUUGCGCUCUCUAUCUCACUCCCCUGCAUUUCCCAGUUACGGUUGGCAGCUAGCGUCGGCGCAGGCACGGCAAAGCCCACGGUAAACACCGUGUACGGAGCACGAGCCGUAAACUGAGACUCAUUUGGCACUGAGUUCAGUCAUAAAGGAUAAAUGUGCUUUAUGGCCACAUUCAGGAUGUAGCUGUAAUGGCUAAAUAAAACCAUACCCCAAGUGAUGGAAGCUGUCAGCUACGGCCCCGGGGAAUCGGGUUUUCAUGCAAGAAAACGGUGACUAUUGCAAGUCACAGAAAAAGGGAAAAGGACUGAAUGACCGGAGUGCGGAGAGAAGCAGAGGAAGGUGGGCGUGCUGGGGAGGGACAUUCGUGGCGAGAUGAAAUCAGCAGCGAGGAGCCCCUGCGUUUAUCAAUAACCGUGGCAUUUCCUCUGUGUCGCAGGUGACUACUCAGGUCCGUGGCCGAAGAGAGGAAGGCAUGAGCUCCGCGGUUGCUCCGGGUCUGGCAGAGCCGGCUGUGCCGGGCCGGGACGCAGGAUCAGGCCACGCUGGUUCCUUGAGGCUGGAGCCUGGGCGCUCUGGGAACACCAAAGCCCCGAGCAAUGAGUGUGUGUGGCAGACAAUCUGCUUAAUGUGGGAAGCAGAGUUUCCUGCAGCACCGAUUUAGUGGAGAAGGGAAAACCCUGAGAGCCAGGAACAGCCGGGAGAAUUAAGCAGAUCCCGCUGGAAAACCGAAGACGAAAGAGAAGCAGCCCUGCCGCUCGCCUUGGCCACGCUUCCUCGGCCAAAGAUGCCGAACCGUCCCCGAUAACGGGUGCGCUGGGCCAGUCCUGCUCUCCUCCGGAC